This 253-nucleotide ribosomal RNA is filed under the name uncultured bacterium. Its description in RNAcentral is "partial 16S ribosomal RNA". It matches the Rfam family "Bacterial small subunit ribosomal RNA", at positions 524 to 776 of the family's 1533-position model. The record is from RNAcentral.
UACGUAGGGGGCAAGCGUUGUCCGGAAUCAUUGGGCGUAAAGAGCGUGUAGGCGGCCCGGUAAGUCCGCUGUGAAAGUCCAGGGCUCAACCCUGGGAUGCCGGUGGAUACUGUCGGGCUCGAGUCCGGAAGAGGAGUGUGGAAUUCCUGGUGUAGCGGUGAAAUGCGCAGAUAUCAGGAGGAGCACCAAUUGCGAAGGCAGCACUCUGGGACGUGACUGACGCUGAGACGCGAAAGCGUGGGGAGCAAACAGG